UGAGGAACAUGACCUUCGGCGGGGGAUAGCCGGCCCAACGGCCGGGUAAUACCGCGUACGACCACAUGGGGACAUCCCUGAGUGGUGAAAGCAGCAAUGCGCCGAUGGAGUGCCUCGCGGCCUAUCAGCUAGUUGGGUGGGGUAACGCCUACCAAGGCAACGACGGGUAGCCGGUCUGAGAGGAUGGCCAGCCACAUUGGGACUGAGACACGGUCCAGACUCCGUACGGGAGGNAGCG
This 238-nucleotide ribosomal RNA is filed under the name uncultured bacterium. Its description in RNAcentral is "partial 16S ribosomal RNA". It matches the Rfam family "Bacterial small subunit ribosomal RNA", at positions 118 to 352 of the family's 1533-position model. The record is from RNAcentral.